This 829-nucleotide ribosomal RNA is filed under the name uncultured bacterium. RNAcentral describes it as "bacterial SSU rRNA". It matches the Rfam family "Bacterial small subunit ribosomal RNA", at positions 10 to 875 of the family's 1533-position model. The record is from RNAcentral.
AGUUUGAUCCGGGCUCAGGAUGAACGCUGGCGGCGUGCCUAAUACAUGCAAGUCGAGCGGUAAGGCCCUUCGGGGUACACGAGCGGCGGACGGCUGAGUAACACGUAGGAACGUACCCCAAAGUGAGGGAUAAGCACCAGAAAUGGUGUCUAAUACCGCAUGUGCUCUAAGGAGUAAAGCUCCGGCGCUUUGGGAACGGCCUGCGCAUGAUUAGCUAGAUGGUGAGGUAAUGGCUCACCAUGGCGACGAUCAUUAGCUGGUCUGAGAGGAUGAUCAGCCAGACUGGGACUGAGACACGGCCCAGACUCCUACGGGAGGCAGCAGUAGGGAAUUUUCCACAAUGGGCGAAAGCCUGAUGGAGCAACGCCGCGUGCAGGAUGAAUGCCUCCGGGUUGUAAACUGCUUUUAUAUGUGACGAAUAUGACGGUAGCAUAUGAAUAAGGAUCGGCUAACUCCGUGCCAGCAGCCGCGGUCAUACGGAGGAUCCAAGCGUUAUCCGGAAUUACUGGGCGUAAAGAGUUGCGUAGGCGGCAUAGUAAGCAGAUAGUGAAAGCGUGUGGCUCAACCAUACUCACAUUAUCUGAACUGCUAAGCUAGAGGACGAGAGAGGUCACUGGAAUUCCUAGUGUAGGAGUGAAAUCCGUAGAUAUUAGGAGGAACACCAAUGGCGUAGGCAGGUGACUGGCUCGUUCCUGACGCUCAGGCACGAAAGCGUGGGGAGCAAACGGGAUUAGAUACCCCGGUAGUCCACGCCGUAAACGAUGGAUGCUAGCUGUUAGAGGUAUCGACCCCUCUAGUAGCGAAGCUAACGCGUUAAGCAUCCCGCCUG